Molecule: non-coding RNA, 217 nt
Organism: Pelobates cultripes (western spadefoot toad)
Lineage: Eukaryota; Metazoa; Chordata; Amphibia; Anura; Pelobatidae
Source: the annotation of a GenBank genome assembly
CAUAGAUAGGAUAUCAGGAGACAAAAAUGCCAGGAAAGAGAAUAGUGCAGUGUGUGUGUGAGGGUGCAGUGUGUGUGUGAGUGUGCUGUGUGCCUGUGAGGAAGCUGUGAGUGUCAGGGGUGCAGUGUGUGUGUGAGUUUGAGUAAGGGUGCUGUGAGUGUAAGGGGUGCAGUGUGUGUGUGUGAGGGUGCUGUGUGUGUGAGGGUGUGUGUGCAAG